GCUGAUGGAGCACGCCGCGUGUGUGAUGAAGGCUUUCGGGUCGUAAAGCACUGUUGUAUGGGAAGAACAGCUAGAAUAGGGAAUGAUUUUAGUUUGACGGUACCAUACCAGAAAGGGACGGCUAAAUACGUGCCAGCAGCCGCGGUAAUACGUAUGUCCCGAGCGUUAUCCGGAUUUAUUGGGCGUAAAGCGAGCGCAGACGGUUGAUUAAGUCUGAUGUGAAAGCCCGGAGCUCAACUCCGGAAUGGCAUUGGAAACUGGUUAACUUGAGUGCAGUAGAGGUAAGUGGAACUCCAUGUGUAGCGGUGGAAUGCGUAGAUAUAUGGAAGAACACCAGUGGCGAAGGCGGCUUACUGGACUGUAACUGACGUUGAGGCUCGAAAGUGUGGGUAGCAAACAGGAUUAGAUACCCUGGUAGUCCACACCGUAAACGAUGAACACUAGGUGUUAGGAGGUUUCCGCCUCUUAGUGCCGAAGCUAACGCAUUAAGUGUUCCGCCUGGGGAGUACGACCGCAAGGUUGAAACUCAAAGGAAUUGCGGGGACCCGCACAAGCGGUGGAGCAUGUGGUUUAAUUCGAAGCAACGCGAAGAACCUUACCAGGUCUUGACAUCCUUUGAAGCUUUUAGAGAUAGAAGUGUUCUCUUCGGAGACAAAGUGACAGGUGGUGCAUGGUCGUCGUCAGCUCGUGUCGUGAGAUGUUGGGUUAAGUCCCGCAACGAGCGCAACCCUUAUUGUUAGUUGCCAGCAUUCAGAUGGGCACUCUAGCGAGACUGCCGGUGACAAACCGGAGGAAGGCGGGGACGACGUCAGAUCAUCAUGCCCCUUAUGACCUGGGCUACACACGUGCUACAAUGGCGUAUACAACGAGUUGCCAACCCGCGAGGGUGAGCUAAUCUCUUAAAGUACGUCUCAGUUCGGAUUGUAGUCUGCAACUCGACUACAUGAAGUCGG
RNAcentral lists this ribosomal RNA (953 nucleotides) under Leuconostoc mesenteroides. RNAcentral describes it as "bacterial SSU rRNA". It matches the Rfam family "Bacterial small subunit ribosomal RNA", at positions 382 to 1329 of the family's 1533-position model. The record is from RNAcentral. Lineage: Bacteria; Bacillati; Bacillota; Bacilli; Lactobacillales; Lactobacillaceae.